GUAUAAUGCUGCCUUAACUGUUGAGAAAAGACAGGCUGGAGAAAUCAGCAGGUGAUCAAGGAAACACUUAAAGGUGAUGGGCUGCUGCUUCAAAAAACACUUGCAUAAAUAAAUCUGCAGCACAGAGCAGAAGGGAAAUCAGGCUAGAAAUCUGGCUGACUGCCUGUAGUCCCCAGGCCCAAGGCAGUGCUGCUGUUAAGUGAGAACAGGUGAAAGCAAUUCUUUGUUUUUGCCUUUAUCUCUUCCCUUUGGACAUGCGCUGGGAAGCUGAGGUGUCCAUUCAAUAGGAAACAAGUGAACACUGGCAGGAAAGGCAUUCCUUUCUUCAAGGUGAUCCCAAAUACCAGACUAAAGCUUUACUUCUUCUCCAGCAUCACUGAUGUCAGGGAAUGUCAGAGCUGCAUUCUGCCAAGGAGGGGAGGGGGAAGUAAGACUAUCCCCACUCAGAGAGUAGGGGUGCAGAGCCCUGCCCUGAAGUCCCAUGAAAGUGGAACCACCUGCAAGGGUUAUUAGCUUCACCUCCAGAAAAAGGCUUCUUAAAAAAUGAGAAGAUAGAAGAAGGGUUUUCAAGACUUGACUGGAUGAAACCCCAAGGAACCUGGUGAGAUGUCAUGUCUAACCCUACUCUGAGCAGGAUGUUGUAAUGAAGACGCUGUGAGGUCCCACCCAUCCCUACUGGCUCUAUUAUUCUGUGGCUUUCUGAGAGAUGGAUUUGGCCUUUAGAAUGACGAUUGAACAUGUGCUAGUGCCUCUCUUUCUCCACAAAUAUGUACAUAUGUGUGCUUACAUCCAGCUAUACUCUCAAAACCUUUUGCCAAUUUGAGUUGUUAUUAAUUAUUGUGAUCUAAAAAUAAAACCUUUUUUCCCCAAGAUUGAAAGAUCUUCAGGCACUACUAAGCAAUUCACUGUGUGUUGCAGCAUAUAAGUAAUGACUGAAGAGUGUGAAACUCCAAGCAGACCUCUGCAUCAAGAUGAAUAGAUGAGCAGAGUACAUUCGCUGAAGUGCUUUCUGUAUCGGUGAACACAACAGUGUGUUUGAAAUAUAUCAAAAGGAACUGUUGUGUAUUUCACACUUCUCAACAGUGAGGGCAAAAUGUAUUGUAUGCAGUACCUUGCAUGUAAGAGUUACAAGAAAAAUAACGGAACAUAAUGCUCCUCUGAAUAUUAAAACAAGGUUCAGAAAAUGCAGCUAUACUUUUGGCAGCUGGCUGAUAUGUCAGCAGCAAUCAAACUGGGGAGAGGAGGCUGAAAUUAGCUCCUUUCUCUGCUAAUAUAUUGUCUAUAAUAAGGUCCCAGAUUUUUCCCAUUUGUUUGUUAUUUAGCAGUUCAUCUGAACAAAUAUCUGUGCUAAUAGAGCAUUCAUAAAUGAUUACAACCCUUUGAGCAUUUGCUGCUUGAAAUUUGCUUGCUGCCUGGGCUACUUGGUCACCUAUGAACACGUCUAUAUUACAUAACAUUGUGCCAUGGGGGAGAUAGCCAAGAUAGCUCAAGAAGAAGGAUGGUAUGUCUGCAUGGCACAGUGCCACACUGCGUACUCACCUAGGUCCCAGAGGCUGUAUAAAUAAGUUAGCUCCAUUCAGUUGGCACAGCUCUAUGCUGACCUAGCUGUCCUAAUCUGAGGACUAAAACUGGCUUGUUUAGAGGUAGGUCAGUGUGGAUAGAAUUUCUCUCCCUCAUUCGUCUGACCUCAACAAUGAUGUCGCAGUUUAUUCCCCCAGUUUUUUUUCUCAUUCAUCCUCUUUUUUUUUUUUUUUUUUUUUUGUUUCAUAAUGAAACAACAAGGAUGUUUAAAGUUACUUUCCAUACAUACUUGUGUAAGAAAUUAUUUGUUGAGUUGGCUUGCUAUAAAAGUGAACAAAAAGAGUGUAAAAAUGGAUAAUUAAUACUAUUAAGAUUUCACAAUCAUUGUGCAAAAUAUGAUUUCCCUCUGUUCACUCAAUACUCUUGCUUUUGGCAAAGCAAGCUGCUACCUUUCAUUAAUAAAAAUAUAUGCCACUAAAAAUAGAAGAUAAUUACACAGGUUAAUGAGUAAAGAUUGGACACUACAUGAUACACAUCUGAAUUUCUUGCAUUUUCCUUUCUAGGUUGAGAACCUUUGGUAAUCUAAUCACUGAAACUACCUGGAAUCAUUAUUAUUAUUAUUAUUAUUAUUAUUAUUAUUAUUAUUAUUAUUAUUAUUAUUUAAUUACAUAACUGAUACUGAACAAGAAAAGCAGAGUGAAUUGUUUGUAUGCUCUGUAAAGCAUCCUGCUAUCAGACUGUUCUGAUGUCUUACUGCUCCUGGUUUAAAUUAUUUACAUGCCUUUCCAAUUAUUUUCAUAGUUUAUGAGAAGGCAUAGGACUAUAUGAGAACAGUGAAAGAAUGUGUCAAUGUAUACUUCAUGUAACAUUAUGCUAAUUUGCUCAUUGGUACAGCAAAACCCAUCUUGGUGGGUUUGAACCAUUUUGUAUAGUGUGGCCUUUUUCAAUGUCAGAAGGAUAAUCAUGUGAGAUAGGAAGAGCUCAGGCUCUGUGUUCUCAUUACCGAUGAUCAGGGUGUGUGAAGAUCUCAUAAAAACAUCAGGAGCCUUCUUUGUACCCUCCAGUUCUGCUGUUUCUUUAAAGACCAUUUGCAAAAGAAGAAGAACCUGACAUAACCACGUCAAUGAAAAAAUAGUGAAAGUGAAGUGAAAAAAAUAAUCUCAAAAUCUAUUUCUCUUGCCAUAACUUGUGAUUUUUGGCACAGAAAACAAUAAGCAUGAGGAAAAAAAAAAGUAAGAUUGCAAGCUGAAGACAAGUCAAUAAGAGGAAGAUUGCAUAAGAUUUAAAUCAGACAAGAAACAUUUCACAGCAGAAACUUAGGAAGAAAAUUCCUUCACAUCCUCCCAAGGAAACCCAACACGGAAGCAUGCUUAAUGGUGCACAGCACAACUGCCUUUUGCUGCAGGCUAGGAAUAAGUAAUUCAAAUGAAUGAGAGAAAUUUGUAUCUUAGAAGGGAAGGAUAUUUGUAUCCUCCCUGCAAUGUGAUGUUGUAAAAGUUCACAGAAGGGCUGUUACCAGAUGGACUAACAAGCAGAGUAAGGGGGUUGUUAAGAAAUGGAAACCUAAUGAGAACAUUCACAAACCAAGAAACUGCAAUGGUAAAAAUGAAGAACAAAGCCAUAAAUGUUCCAACCCUGCUUCAAUCCAUGAAUAACAGCAUGUAUGUAAUUAAGCUGGGGGUUUCACGAACAAUUUGACAUGCUGGAAGUGUUGCUAUUGCUUUGCCUGCCAGAUACACGGACCAUAUAGUAAUGAGUAACAACACACAAGCCAGUGUAUGUUUUAGCUGGUAUGAGCCAAUGUCCAUGUAGCUGAAUUAGGGCAACGCUCAAUGAACCAAUGAGCCCUGCAGAAGAGCAGGUAUAAAGCUUAGCUAGCCCAGAGCAUGAGCUGGAUGAGCUCCCACCUACUGCAGUGUGGGGAGAGGGUCAGUCUGUACUUCAGAGCUCUGGUUGAAUGUUCCCUAAGACAAACAGAGUGAGUGUUUAAAGGGGAAAAAAAAAAAAAAAAAAAA
Anas platyrhynchos (mallard) is the source of this 3536-nucleotide non-coding RNA. The record is from RefSeq and is a predicted model, not a curated record. NCBI's taxonomy places the organism in Eukaryota, Metazoa, Chordata, Aves, Anseriformes, Anatidae.